Molecule: unclassified non-coding RNA, 276 nt
Filed under: uncultured Saccharomycetales
Lineage: Eukaryota; Fungi; Ascomycota; Saccharomycetes
Also listed under: 2 other names
Description: sequence contains ITS1
Rfam family: 5.8S ribosomal RNA (bases 1-104)
Source: RNAcentral
GAAAUGCGAUACCUAGUGUGAAUUGCAGCCAUCGUGAAUCAUCGAGUUCUUGAACGCACAUUGCGCCCGUCGGUAUUCCGGCGGGCAUGCCUGUCUGAGCGUCGUUUCCUUCUUGGAACUUUUGUUAAAGAAAGAUCCAGAGCUGGCCGUGCCACUGGCCCGGCCGAAAAGAAACGUUGCGGACGAAGCGAACUACAUCGGGACGCUUUGGCCGCCGAGCGAAAAUAUAUCAUUGAGCUCGACCUCAGAUCAGGUAGGAGUACCCGCUGAACUUAA